Molecule: long non-coding RNA, 895 nt
Organism: Contarinia nasturtii (swede midge)
Lineage: Eukaryota; Metazoa; Arthropoda; Insecta; Diptera; Cecidomyiidae
Exons: 3
Source: RefSeq, a predicted model, not a curated record
AAUCUACAAAUGUCAAAGCUGCACGUCAAACAACACAAUAAUAAGAGUUAGAAAAACAUAACCAAACAUUUGAAGUUUGAAUUUAUAUUAUCAAUUGGACAAAGAAACAUGUAACGUGUGAGUAGACUUGGAUGCAGAUUAUCAAAUUCAGUCGUUCAAUUGAAAGGAGCCAACGAUUGUGCCAACGAAUCAAAUAAGAUGCAUUUUCUCUGGCGAAGGGCUGGGAAUUAAAAAUUACGAAUUGGUUCGAAAACAAGUCGGAGACUAUGUAAAGAAUUUCGUCCAAAUAUGAUUCGUGGAUCAAGAUUGCAAUUUUACAAAGUAUGAAACUGAACUAAACAAUUUGCUUCACGUUGUCGACAAGAGUGAAAACGAUAUGAUUAUUCUGAAAGAAGCAUUGAACAGAUGAACACAUUAAUUGAAAAACAAAGCGAAUCCUUUUGAAAACAAAACAAAGUUAGGCGCACUUUUAUGAUUAUAGUUUGAAGAAAUAAACAAAAUCAUUGAUCUUGAACGAUAACAUGUUGUGCGCGUAUUGGGGACGGUAUAAUACGUAUAAGAAACUGGCUCUGGAUAGAAGUAUUCAACCCAUACCCAUCGUUUUGCACGUUUUGUGUCACUUUCUGCGUUUUCUUUUGUUGGAUUGGGCUCGGUUGAUACUCUUGUGUUUUAUCCUCAUCUUUAUGCUCUUUUUGUAAUUCCGGCAACGUGAAAGCUGCUGGUUCGCUUUUACCCGAUGGGAAAACGGUUGCAGCUACAACGAAUAAUGCGAAUAAGAUAAAGAUUUUCAUUUUAAACUUUUGCGCUGAAGAAAAUUGAAGUCAACAAAAAGAAAAUCAAAUAAUUUUUUAAUAUCUAAACUAGCUAAUCAAUUGUCCUUUUAUCAUUAUCUAAU